Molecule: ribosomal RNA, 412 nt
Filed under: uncultured bacterium
Lineage: Bacteria
Description: bacterial SSU rRNA
Rfam family: Bacterial small subunit ribosomal RNA
Source: RNAcentral
AUUGGGCAAUGGAGGCAACUCUGACCCAGCCAUCCCGCGUGCAGGAUGAAGGUCCUCUGGAUUGUAAACUGCUUUUGUUAGGGAAGAAAACCUAUUAUUUAUAAUAGACUGACGGUACCUAACGAAUAAGCACCGGCUAACUCCGUGCCAGCAGCCGCGGUAAUACGGAGGAUCCAAGCGUUAUCCGGAAUCAUUGGGUUUAAAGGGUCCGUAGGCGGGACAAUAAGUCAGUGGUGAAAGUCUGCAGCUUAACUGUAGAAUUGCCGUUGAAACUGUUGUUCUUGAGUAAUUAUGAAGUGGUUAGAAUAUGUAGUGUAGCGGUGAAAUGCAUAGAUAUUACAUAGAAUACCGAUUGCGAAGGCAGAUCACUAAUAAUUCACUGACGCUGAUGGACGAAAGCGUAGGUAGCGAA